Molecule: long non-coding RNA, 1191 nt
Filed under: Homo sapiens (human)
Lineage: Eukaryota; Metazoa; Chordata; Mammalia; Primates; Hominidae
Description: uncharacterized LOC101928663, transcript variant 1 (LOC101928663)
Source: RNAcentral
AACACCUGUGGGGCAUUCCUUUUUGAACAGUACCCCUUCCCUUGAUGUCUGCAAUAUCACCUUUCUUAUAGAUUAGCAUAUAUGUGGCCAAAGGAACAACUCCAUGUUUUUGUAAAGGCCUAGAGAACAUAUAUCCAGUGCCUUUCCUUUUUGCCUUUGUAUUCAUCAUUUUGGCAAAUUACUGGAAGAUGACGGUUCUGGCCAAAAGGCUGGUUUUGUUUUUGGGUCACAUUUUCUUGCUUCUCUGCGUUAGAAUCUUGGAUUAGAUGAUGGACAUGGUGAAGAUGGAAAAUAUGAGGUGCAGAGAAGUGAUGGAAAAAAGAGAAGAUCAGGAUUUCAGUUUUUUUCUGCAUUUCUCAUCAUCCCAUGAAGUCUCUUGAUAACAUAAGCCAAGUUUUCAUAUACCUUGACGUGUGUGAUACUUACGUGGUGCCAAGAACAAGAUGCAUACUCAAUAAAUAUUCAUCACUAUAGGCAAAAGCGGGCACAGAUGGAAAAUAAAAUUAUUUGAAGAGUCUUGCUCUGUCACACAGGCUGGAGCGUAGUGGCAUGAUCUCAGCUCAUUGCAACCUCUGCCUCCUGGGUUCAAGCAAUCCUCCUACCUCAGCCUCCUGAGUAGCUUGGACCACAGGAGACAAAAUCCUACUAGAGAGAAGGGGCCUGCUUCAAGCACAUAACUGGAUUCUACCUCAAGACAAUCUGCCACAUUUGAAGCUUGGAAUCUUCAAAGAGCAGAAUAGAAUGUGCUGUACUCUUUCAGGACUAAAGAGACAAAGACUUCUAGGGUCUCAAUCGACAGCCUUGGAGGAACAUGUCUAAGGAAUAGGGGUGAACCAGAGAAGACCUAGCUUACUGAAAUUACAAUGUGGUCCCAAUCCAGCUAAACCCCUGGUUGGAUUGAGGUAAUCAAUCUCUCACCCUAUCUACAGAAGAAAAGAGAAACUCAUGGUGGAGUAAGAUGCCAUCUGGAGCCUCUAUGAUUCAUUUAUAUAUAUCCUACAGAAUACAGUCAAAAUUGCUAGAUAUGCAAAAACACAGGAAAAGGUGAUUUAAAAAUCAAAACAGAAAAUAGAAGUAGACACAUCAUGUUGGAUUUAGCAGACAAUGAUUUGAAACUAACCAUGAUUGAUAUGUCAAAAAUGUAUGAAAGUUGAUAAAAAAGAAUAAGAUGUGUGUUAAAAAAAAAAAAAA